CGUGAACGUGGACGUGUGAAACGCUUAAGGUUCAAACUCUCGUCAACAUACCCAAUGCAGAAACUCGCAGCUCAAUGCAAAUCUGCCCACGCGCCGUGUCCACAGCACAAAUAUGUGUGAUCAGGCUUGGCUGAGCAACAAAAGGACUGGACUCACAACACAGACGCUCUGUUCAGGAAGCCAGAACAGGCUCCACCUCCUGGGGACGCUCGGGUCCUUUGGAGUGAGGGGGCCACUCCAGGAACCUGCUGUGACUCUGUGGUGGCAUCUGCCAUCUGGUACGGUGUGGCCUGCUGGAGCAGCAGCACCACAGAGAGGGAGAGGAAGAAGCUGGACAAGAUCAUAAAGGAGCCUGGCUCAGUCCUGGGCCGUCCUCUGGAUGGGACGCAGGGGACAGAGGGGUCCCGGUCAAACUCACACGGACGCUGGACCAGAUUGUAGAGCAUUCUGCUGUCAUCCAUCAGAACAUCUGAAGACAUUUCUGUUGAAAAGAGGAUCCUUCUUCCUGCCCAUUAUCCUCUGUUCCAAUUAUUACUGCAGCUGCCUACAUGUGCAGGGGGAAACUAUUAUUAGAGCCGUCGUCCACUGUUCUCGCCUCUCGUGUUACCUGUCUGGUGUCAUCAAGGGUCAGCCCAUUCUACCUUCCCGUCCAUCGCUGAGCUCACAGCACAUCACCUCAGAGUGCACAUGCACCAGCUUCCACUUGGUGAACCCACCAGCUCUCCUGGGAGGACGGUGGAUGUUCCGGACCCUUAUAGGGAGAGGAGCAUAA
This 772-nucleotide long non-coding RNA is filed under the name Takifugu rubripes (torafugu). RNAcentral describes it as "lncRNA (ENSTRUG00000031683.1)". Lineage: Eukaryota; Metazoa; Chordata; Actinopteri; Tetraodontiformes; Tetraodontidae. The record is from RNAcentral.